CCCUUAGAUGUUCUGGGCUGCACGCGCGCUACACUGAUGCGCUCAACGAGUUUAUGACCUUGCCUGGAAAGGUUGGGUAAUCUUCUUAAAACGCAUCGUGAUGGGGAUAGAUUAUUGCAAUUAUUAAUCUUCAACGAGGAAUUCCUAGUAAGCGCGAGUCAUCAGCUCGUGCUGAUUACGUCCCUGCCCUUUGUACACACCGCCCGUCGCUCCCACCGAUUGAGUGAUCCGGUGAAUAAUUCGGACUGCAGCAGUGUUCAGUUCCUGAACGUUGCAGUGGAAAGUUUAGUGAACCUUAUCACUUAGAGGAAGGAGAAGUCGUAACA
Molecule: ribosomal RNA, 326 nt
Filed under: uncultured eukaryote
Lineage: Eukaryota
Description: partial 18S ribosomal RNA
Rfam family: Eukaryotic small subunit ribosomal RNA
Source: RNAcentral